CNUGCAGUCGAGCGGUAGAGAGGUGCUUGCACCUCUUGAGAGCGGCGGACGGGUGAGUAAUGCCUAGGAAUCUGCCUGGUAGUGGGGGAUAACGCUCGGAAACGGACGCUAAUACCGCAUACGUCCUACGGGAGAAAGCAGGGGACCUUCGGGCCUUGCGCUAUCAGAUGAGCCUAGGUCGGAUUAGCUAGUUGGUGGGGUAAUGGCUCACCAAGGCGACGAUCCGUAACUGGUCUGAGAGGAUGAUCAGUCACACUGGAACUGAGACACGGUCCAGACUCCUACGGGAGGCAGCAGUGGGGAAUAUUGGACAAUGGGCGAAAGCCUGAUCCAGCCAUGCCGCGUGUGUGAAGAAGGUCUUCGGAUUGUAAAGCACUUUAAGUUGGGAGGAAGGGCAUUAACCUAAUACGUUAGUGUUUUGACGUUACCGACAGAAUAAGCACCGGCUAACUCUGUGCCAGCAGCCGCGGUAAUACAGAGGGUGCAAGCGUUAAUCGGAAUUACUGGGCGUAAAGCGCGCGUAGGUGGUUCGUUAAGUUGGAUGUGAAAUCCCCGGGCUCAACCUGGGAACUGCAUUCAAAACUGUCGAGCUAGAGUAUGGUAGAGGGUGGUGGAAUUUCCUGUGUAGCGGUGAAAUGCGUAGAUAUAGGAAGGAACACCAGUGGCGAAGGCGACCACCUGGACUGAUACUGACACUGAGGUGCGAAAGCGUGGGGAGCAAACAGGAUUAGAUACCCUGGUAGUCCACGCCGUAANCGAUGUCAACUAGCCGUUGGGAGCCUUGAGCUCUUAGUGGCGCAGCUAACGCAUUAAGUUGACCGCNNGGGGAGUACGGCCGCAAGGUUAAAACUCAAAUGAAUUGACGGGGGCCCGCACAAGCGGUGGAGCAUNNGNUUUAAUUCGAAGCAAC
This 910-nucleotide ribosomal RNA is filed under the name Pseudomonas sp. RNAcentral's name for it is "bacterial SSU rRNA". It matches the Rfam family "Bacterial small subunit ribosomal RNA", at positions 54 to 960 of the family's 1533-position model. Lineage: Bacteria; Pseudomonadati; Pseudomonadota; Gammaproteobacteria; Pseudomonadales; Pseudomonadaceae. The record is from RNAcentral.